GGUUGUUUUGCCAAAGGCAUUGCCCGGUAGCUACGUUCGGAACUGAUAACCGCUGAAAGCAUCUAAGCGGGAAGCAGGCUUUGAGAUGAGUUCUCACUGGAGCUUUAAGCUCCCUAAAGGGUCGUUGGAGACUACAACGUUGAUAGGUCAGGUGUGUAAGGGUUGUGAGGCCUUGAGCUAACUGAUACUAAUUACCCGUGAGGC
This 204-nucleotide ribosomal RNA is filed under the name uncultured Pyramimonas. Its description in RNAcentral is "partial Bacterial large subunit ribosomal RNA". It matches the Rfam family "Bacterial large subunit ribosomal RNA", at positions 2719 to 2917 of the family's 2925-position model. Lineage: Eukaryota; Viridiplantae; Chlorophyta; Pyramimonadophyceae; Pyramimonadales. The record is from RNAcentral.